RNA transcript from Hipposideros armiger (great roundleaf bat), 5004 nucleotides. It is a transcript of the gene named brevican, with no coding region annotated. The record is from RefSeq and is a predicted model, not a curated record. The transcript has 13 exons. Lineage: Eukaryota; Metazoa; Chordata; Mammalia; Chiroptera; Hipposideridae.
GCAGGAGAUGUCACCCAAGACAGUAGGUGUUACCCAAGUGCAGCAGAUGACACCCAGUGCAGUAAAUGUCACCCACCUCAGUGGGUGUCACCCAGGGUGGUAGACAUCACCCAGGGCAGCAUCUGCUACUCAGCCUGUUGUACAGAAGAGGAAACAGUGUCAGAGAAACCAAGACCUUCCCAUGGCUUUGCCACUGCAAACAGCAAAACAGGAGCCUGACCUCCUGAGUCCUGGCUCUAAGCACCAUCUUCACAGCAGCCGCUGUCUGUUCUCUCACCGUGUCUGCUCUCUCACCAGGGGUCUGCCUCUUGGAACAGACUGUCUGGUACCAGCCCUUGUCCAGACCCAGAAGCUGCUCGCCUUGGUCAAGGUCAGACUCCCCCAGGGCACCAAAAUGUGCGCCCACACUUCUAGUCAUGAGGGAAGGUGGCGAGGAAGGUCGCUUUCUCUGUCUUCCCAGGUCACAGCCAAGUAUUCCAGAGGCAAGAACUGAGCUUAGGUGCAAGCCCCACUGGGAUUGAAUUUCAGCCACUUGGUUGCCUGGCCCUAUUGAGCCCCUAUGGAGAAGGGCCGUGUGGGCGCAGGCUGCAUGCAUGGCCCAUGCUGAGCCUGUCCUGGAGGAGGGGACUUGUCUUUCAGCUGGAGGAUGCCAGGUCUGAGGGGAGCAAAGGGAGAUCUGUCCCCAAAGGCCUUCUCAGAUCCUCCUCUCCACUAGAGGACUUGGGACAGCAGUCCGAAGGCCUACAAUAGUGCCUGGUCCUCAGUGGAACCCAGUUAAUAUUUGUUUAAUGAAAUGAGUAAACCGAGGUCUCUUUUCCCCCACACUGUCCCAGGCACCUUGCUCCAUCCCCUUCGGUCUCACAUCCCUGCCUGGGAUAUUUCUCUUACUGAGGGACGGACUAUACCACCCUGCACCCCAACAUCUUCCUGUCCUGUGUCUACAGCAGAUGGGUCUCUGGGGAGGGGCCAGAAUCCCACCUUUGGAUGCUGAAGGAUUGGGGGAGGCGUUUUUUUCUGUGAGCUUCUCAAAGCCCUUUGGAGCCCUCUGCAGCAGUGGGAGAGGAAGCCCAGGCCGGGGGAGUGGAGCGGUUGGGGCAACCAGCAGAGGGCAGUCCAGAAUUCCCAUACAGGAGGGACUCGGCUGCCUGCCGGGAGAUGGGAGGACAGAAACCUGCCCGGAGGCUGCAUUUGUAUUGCAGGCACCUCACUUUACUUGGGAUAUUUGGGGCGUGCUGCUGCAGGGGACAGACAUCCAAGCCUUGGACAAGCUCUCCUUGAUGCCACCACUGGUAUCAGAAUCCAGGGGACAGAAUCCAGGCGUCUGGCUGUCCUCCCCACAGUCUGUGCCAGGGGCUUUGCCUGGAGUCCCUGAGAGGAGGGAGGGAGGGGAAAGAGAGCCUGGGAAAGAAGAGGGAAGCACAGACUCUGGAGCUGGGGAGGGGGUGUCAUUGGUAUUCUGGGCACUGAGGAGUCCCCAACGGCUGGGCAGCACUGGAGGCCCACCCCCUGGCACCAGGCUGCACAUUCAUCUUCCACAGCCCUGGCCAACGGGCCCUCUGGGCUCCCAGCAACGCCUGCGUUUUGCACAUUGGUUUGCAUGAGCAGUAAUGUCCGUUCACAGUGCCACUCCUCCCCCGACCAGGUCUAGAGAGCUCCCGACUUGCUUUGCUUAACCCCUGAGUCUGCUGUUUAACCUCAUCCCUGCAAAGUCAGCUCCUCUGUGCUGAGAGUGGGAGCUCUGCAGGAGACAAAACCCAGCAAGAGCUUCAUCCAGGGAGGUUGAUAGGGUCAUCUGCACCUCACCCUGCCUCCAAAAAAGAGUGUCCCUCCCCCAUUUUUAUGUGUGUGCCGUGUCUCUCUAGGAGCAAAGCCUCCUUUUCUCUCUUAAUCCUUUUCCCUACUGUCUAAGUCUCAGCGCCUCCUCCUCUCCCCUUGGCCAACGGGAAGUCCCUCCAACUGUCUAACUUCCAUCCCUCCAGCUGCAACAUCAUCCUCUAGCUUGGCGAGCGCUCCCGCCCCGCCCCGCCUGCCCUCCCGCCCUACUCCAAGUCGUCGGCUUCUCAUCCCCAGAAGGAUGUCCUACUUCGCUCGUCCUUGCUCUCGCAACUGCCACCGGGAACCGACGCAGAGAAGGCAGCGGGUCUCGUGACCUUCCCGAGCCCCCCGCGUUCCCGGCCAGGGGGCGGGAGCAGCCCCCGGGAAGGGCGGGGCGGGGGCGGGGGGAAGAAAGGGGGUUUUGUGCGGCGCCGGGCCCGGCGCCCUCUUCCGAGCAUCCUGCGGGCCCAACCUCUCCGUGCACCCGCGCAGUCCCCGCCGCAGUCUCGGCUGCAGCUGCAAGACCGAGCCGUGGACCCGGCAGAGACCCGCGCAGCAGGAGACAAACUUCCCGGUGCCGCACCCCCACCCAGGCCCUCGGCCGCCAGCCGUCCCCCCAUCAGCCUGCAGCAUGGCCCCACUGUUCCUGCCUCUGCUGGCAGCUCUGGUCCUGGCCCGGGUCCCUGAGGCCUUAGCUGAUGCUCUGGAAAGGGACAGCUCAGAGGACCGCGCCUUCCGCGUGCACAUUGCGGGUGCAGCCCCCCUGCAGGGCGUGUUGGGCGGCGCUCUCACCAUCCCGUGCCACCUUCACUACCUGCGGCCGCUGCAGAACCGGAGGGCCGCUCUGGGCUCCCCGCGGGUGAAGUGGACCUUCCUGUCUGGGGGCCGGGAGGCUGAGGUGCUGGUCGCACGGGGGCUGCGCGUCAAGGUGAGCGAGGCCUACCGGUUCCGCGUGGCGCUGCCGGCCUACCCAGCGUCACUCACCGAUGUCUCCCUGGUGCUGAGCGAGCUUCGGCCCAAUGACUCAGGCAUCUACCGCUGUGAGGUCCAGCAUGGCAUAGAUGACAGCAGCGACGCUGUGGAGGUCAAAGUGAAAGGGGUCGUCUUUCUCUACCGAAAGGGCUCUGCCCGCUAUGCCUUCUCCUUCACUGGGGCCCAGGAGGCCUGCGCCCACAUAGGAGCCCGCAUCGCCACUCCGGAGCAGCUCUACGCAGCCUACCUGGGGGGCUACGAACAGUGCGAUGCUGGCUGGCUGUCCGACCAGACCGUGAGGUAUCCCAUCCAGACACCACGAGAGGCCUGUUACGGAGACAUGGAUGGCUUCCCUGGGGUUCGGAACUAUGGAGUAGUGGACCCGGAUGACCUCUAUGAUGUCUACUGCUAUGCUGAAGACCUGAAUGGAGAGCUGUUCCUGGGUGCCCCCCCAGACAAGCUGACGUUGGAGGAGGCCCAGGCAUACUGCCGGGAGCGGGGUGCAGAGAUCGCCACCACGGGUCAGCUGUACGCCGCCUGGGAUGGCGGCUUGGACCGCUGCAGCCCAGGCUGGCUGGCCGAUGGCAGUGUGCGCUACCCCAUCGUCACACCCAGCCAGCGCUGUGGUGGGGGCCUGCCUGGUGUCAAGACUCUCUUCCUCUUCCCAAACCAGACCGGCUUCCCCAAUAAGCACAGCCGCUUCAACGUCUACUGCUUCCGAGACUCAGCUCAGCCUUCCACCAUCCCUGAGGACUCCAACCCAGCCUCUGAUGGACUGGAGGCCAUUGUCACCGUGACAGAGACCCUGGAGGAACUGCAGCUGCCUCAGGAAACUGUGGAGAGUGAGUCCCGAGGCGCCAUCUACUCCAUUCCCAUCAUGGAGGAUGGAGGCGGUGGAAGUUCCACUCCAGAGGACCCAGCAGAGGCCCCGAGGACCCUCCUAGAACUCGAAACCCAAUCCAUUGUGCCUCCCGUGGAGUCCUCAGAAGAGGAAGGCAAGGCUCUGGAAGAGGAAGAAGACAAAUACAAAGAUGAGGAAGAGGAAGAGGAGGAGGAGGAAGAGGAUGAGGCCCUGUGGGCCUGGCCCAGCGAGCUCAGCAGCCUGGACCCAGAGGCCUCUCUUCCCACUGACCUGGCCCUGGAGGAGUCACUGUCCCCCGCAUCUCCGUCUGCGAGAGCAGUCCUGCAGCCUGGUGCAUCAUCACCUCCCAAUGGGGAGCCGGAGGCUCCCAGGCCUCCAAGGGUCCUAGGACCACCCACUGAGACUCUGCCCACUCCCAGGGAGGGGAACCUGGCAUCCCCACCACCUUCCACUCCAGUUGGGGCGAGAGAGGUGGGGGAGGAGACUGGGGGUCCUGAGCUGUCUGGGGUCCCUCGAGGAGAAAAUGAGGAGACAGGGAGCUCCGAGGAUGCCCCUGCUCUGCUUCCAGCCACACGGGCCCCUGAGGGAACCAAGGAGCUGGAGGCCCCCUCCGAAGAGGAUUCUGGAAGAACUGUCCCCGCAGGGACCUCAGUGCGGGCCCAGCCGGUGCUGCCCACUGACAGCGCCAGCCGCGGUGGAGUGGCCGUGGCCCCUUCAUCAGGUGACUGUGUCCCCAGCCCCUGCCACAAUGGUGGGACAUGCUUGGAGGAGGAGGAAGGUGUCCGCUGCCUAUGUUUGCCUGGCUAUGGGGGGCACCUGUGCGAUGUUGGCCUCCGCUUCUGCAGCCCCGGCUGGGACGCCUUCCAGGGCGCCUGCUACAAGCACUUUUCUACCCGAAGGAGCUGGGAGGAGGCGGAGACCCAGUGCCGGAUGUACGGCGCGCACCUGACCAGCAUCAGCACGCCAGAGGAACAGGACUUCAUCAACAAUCGAUACCGGGAGUACCAGUGGAUUGGGCUCAAUGACAGAACCAUCGAAGGCGAUUUCCUGUGGUCAGAUGGCGUCCCCCUGUGUCCUGUGGGUCCCCACCGGAGCUGCCCUUGGCUCAAGUGUUUGGCCGUCCGCGACUGCGCUAUGAGGUGGACACAGUGCUUCGUUACCAGUGCCGGGAGGGGCUGGCCCAGCGAAACCUGCCACUGAUCCGCUGCCAGGAGAAUGGCCGCUGGGAGCCCCCCCAGAUCUCCUGUGUGCCCCGCAGGCCUUCUCGAGCUCUGCACCCAAUGAAGGCCCCAGAAGGACGUCAAGGCAGGCCACUGGGGCGCUGGAAGGCGCUGCUGACCCCUCCUUCCAGUCCU